GACGAACGCUGGCGGCGUGCUUAACACAUGCAAGUCGAACGGAAAGGCCUCAGCUUGCUGGGGUACUCGAGUGGCGAACGGGUGAGUAACACGUGGGUGAUCUGCCUUGCACUCUGGGAUAAGCUUGGGAAACUGGGUCUAAUACCGGAUAUGAACUGCCUUUAGUGUGGUGGUUGGAAAGUUUUUUCGGUGCAAGAUGAGCUCGCGGCCUAUCAGCUUGUUGGUGGGGUAAUGGCCUACCAAGGCGUCGACGGGUAGCCGGCCUGAGAGGGUGUACGGCCACAUUGGGACUGAGAUACGGCCCAGACACCUACGGGAGGCAGCAGUGGGGAAUAUUGCACAAUGGGCGGAAGCCUGAUGCAGCGACGCCGCGUGGGGGAUGACGGCCUUCGGGUUGUAAACUCCUUUCGACAGGGACGAAGCUUUUUGUGACGGUACCUGUAUAAGAAGCACCGGCUAACUACGUG
Molecule: ribosomal RNA, 467 nt
Filed under: uncultured bacterium
Lineage: Bacteria
Description: partial 16S ribosomal RNA
Rfam family: Bacterial small subunit ribosomal RNA
Source: RNAcentral